This 130-nucleotide ribosomal RNA is filed under the name Clostridiales bacterium. RNAcentral's name for it is "partial 23S ribosomal RNA". The record is from RNAcentral. Lineage: Bacteria; Bacillati; Bacillota; Clostridia; Eubacteriales.
UUCUUCGGAACAAUCCAAUAGUGCGUGUAAGCAUACUCCCAAGAAAAUCCGCUAAACUUAAUCUUUAAGGUACCCGUACCGCAAACGGACACACGUAGUCGGGUUGAAUAUACUAAGGCGCUUGAGUGAU